UCCAUGCUUACUGUACGGGUGUCAAAC
This 27-nucleotide non-coding RNA is filed under the name Bombyx mori (domestic silkworm). The record is from RNAcentral. Lineage: Eukaryota; Metazoa; Arthropoda; Insecta; Lepidoptera; Bombycidae.